GUGGAUGAAGAAAGGGUAGGUAGCUGAGCGGUGAUGAUCUAAUCGGCCCCUGACA
Molecule: small nucleolar RNA, 55 nt
Filed under: Pyrococcus furiosus DSM 3638
Lineage: Archaea; Methanobacteriati; Methanobacteriota; Thermococci; Thermococcales; Thermococcaceae
Description: Small nucleolar RNA sR36
Rfam family: Small nucleolar RNA sR36
Source: Rfam by way of RNAcentral